Molecule: ribosomal RNA, 436 nt
Filed under: uncultured bacterium
Lineage: Bacteria
Description: partial 16S ribosomal RNA
Rfam family: Bacterial small subunit ribosomal RNA
Source: RNAcentral
AGCGAACGCUGGCGGCAGGCUUAACACAUGCCAGUCGAGCGGGCAUCCUUGUGGUGUCCGCGGCAGACGGGUGAGUAACGCGUGGGAACGUGCCCUUCGGUUCGGAAUAACUCAGGGAAACUUGAGCUAAUACCGGAUACGCCCUUUUGGGGAAAGGUUUACUGCCGAAGGAUCGGCCCGCGUCUGAUUAGCUAGUUGGUGAGGUUAUGGCUCACCAAGGCGACGAUCAGUAGCUGGUCUGAGAGGAUGAUCAGCCACACUGGGACUGAGACACGGCCCAGACUCCUACGGGAGGCAGCAGUGGGGAAUAUUGGACAAUGGGGGCAACCCUGAUCCAGCCAUGCCGCGUGAGUGAUGACGGCCUUAGGGUUGUAAAGCUCUUUUCUCCGGGACGAUAAUGACGGUACCGGAGGAAUAAGCCCCGGCUAACUUCGUG